AUUGAACGCUGGCGGCAGGCCUAACACAUGCAAGUCGAGCGGAGCGGCGGACGGGUGAGUAAUGCCUAGGAAUCUGCCUGGUAGUGGGGGAUAACGUCCGGAAACGGGCGCUAAUACCGCCUAAUAUCAGAUGAGCUUCGGUAGGAUUAGCUAGCUGGUGGGGUAAAGGCCUACCAAGGCGACGAUCCGUAACUGGUCUGAGAGGAUGAUCAGUCACACUGGGACUUAGACACGGUCCAGAUUCCUACGGGAGGCAGCAGUAGGGAAUAUUGGACAAUGGGCGAAAGUCUUAUCGAGCCAAGCCGCGUGAGUGAAGAAGGUCUUCGGAUUGUAAAGCACUUUAAUUAGGGAGGCGUUACCAACAGAGUAAGCACCGGCUAACUACGUGCCAGCAGCCGCGGUAAUAC
This 407-nucleotide ribosomal RNA is filed under the name uncultured bacterium. RNAcentral's name for it is "partial 16S ribosomal RNA". It matches the Rfam family "Bacterial small subunit ribosomal RNA", at positions 30 to 526 of the family's 1533-position model. The record is from RNAcentral.